Molecule: long non-coding RNA, 2948 nt
Organism: Stegastes partitus (bicolor damselfish)
Lineage: Eukaryota; Metazoa; Chordata; Actinopteri; Pomacentridae
Exons: 2
Source: RefSeq, a predicted model, not a curated record
GAUUUUCCCUCUGGAGGCUGAUCAGCAAAACAACACAGGAAGAGCUGGGCCAGUUGGAUGGUGAAGUAGGAGAAGAAGGCGAGGCUAACUACAUACCUCAUCCAUGGCCAGUUGGAUCUUCGCUCUAAGAGGCACCAGGGAACAGACAACAGCCAAGACCCAGAAAAGGAAGAGGAAUACAGAGGAGCGGCAGCCCCUUAUUCUUUCCAACUGGAUGAUGCAUAAUGCCAGGAUCUACAUGGAGACACACAGAGAGACAGAGAGACUUCAUUUCAGAAUUCAUAUGUGUGACAGGAGAGGAGACAGCUCCAGAACCAGAAGAGCAGAGAGCCAAAACUCUAAUCUGUGAGGCCACGUUGAUGAACCGCCUGGAGCGACACGAUGGACAGCAACGGGGAUUUCACAGCGUGAAUCCACUUUUUGAACUUAAACAAAUAUUAUUGACGUACCAAUGGGCAUAACAAUGCUUUCUAUGUUUUGUAGUAGAUAGUUAAGUUUUGCUUUCCAAGUUGUAAUUUAGCGCUAAUUCAAUUGUGGAAAAUAACAUUAAUUCCCAUGUAUUCCUGCCAGUGUCACAGCCAGGGUUUUCAAUGGACCAUAGAGAAUAUAAUCAGAUUUAGUCUGAUCUAAUGCAGUCGAUGGUGGUUUUGAAGCAGAACUUGUAAUUCUGGGAAUUCCCUUGCUGCUGGUGUGCAUGUGACUUGGCAGACUUCCGUCCAUGAAAAAAUGACACAUACAUGGUAUGCCGCAUGCCCUGCACACAUUGCUAAACAUUAUUAUAUAUACCUUCCUACACACACAAAAAAAAAACCUAUACCAUGAUGUUUUCCUAGAAAUAAGACUGAUUCAGUGUCUUUGUCUGUCCUCAGAGGAGUCGUGCAUCUGCCUGCGAACCGCUGUAAUUGGGCCCUCGCUGAGUGGCUGGCCAAGUGAGACGUCAUUUUGUCAUGCCAGCUCAUCACCAAGUGGGGAGAAAGCGGGUUUAGGUUUCAUAAUGAGUACCACAUUGGUUACACUGGGAUGAGCCACAGUGCUGUCCUGUUAUAAACAAGUGGUCUGGUAAUUAUAUAAGUUUUUUGCAUCAACAACCUGAUGCGUUUUAUGGGCAGACGUGUACACAUUUCUGUGCGGUGGCCAAGAGGGUCAACAUCUCCAUGUAUACCAAUGAUACAAACAACAUUUACAGUUUUUGUAUAUUCACUGCAGUGACACAGAGUCAUUUAUUGGGUUGUUCGUUCAUUUUCUCUUUACAUUUGAUACUUGCCAGCACUUCAGAGAAUGAACACAAAUAGUCUCUUACAAUCAUACCUAUGGGGAAUUUAGAGUCUCCAGUCCACCUCAGUUUCUUUGGGAAGUUGGAGCCAAAGAACACACCAACAGUAUGGCGGGGACGUGAACACAAGGACAUCAUGCAAACUCGAAUCGAGUAAAUGCCCAAGAACUUUAUGUACUUUAGGGGUAGAAAUGCCAUGAUUACAGAUACUGUAAUAACUACUAACUAAGUAGUUUCUCAGUUUUAGUAGACAGCAGGACUUCUUUCUUUUUUGGUGGUUUUGGUUUCUUGCAAGAACCAAAAAUAGUAGUCCAGCUGCCUUUUACUGAAGGUUUAAGAUUACCAUAAACUUGAUGACUCAGAAUCUGCACAGACAUCAAUUUUUGCUCUUUUUCCUUACUAGUUAUCAAUACAAGCGCUCUUACUUGUACUCUGCAUUAAUUGGCUGUUGAUGACAUUUUAUCAUCUUAUUAGAGUACCAUGGCAAUCUUGUUAUCAAAUUAUAUAUUUUCUUUACACAUCUGCAGAUACGGAGUAGCCUUAUCAUUUAUUUGGAGUUGGUUUGUGUCCAGCUGAGGAAUGCAAAUCUAAUACAAACUCUCUUUGUGGCUCAGUUUUGUUCUCCACCACUUGUUUAAUGCUCUACUAUGUUCACCAGAUAGUCACUAAUUUCAUCUGCUGUUUGGUGUUUGGCAGGUUUGUAGCUUUUGAGCUUGUAAAAGUUUUUCUCUGGAGACUUUAAUCAGUAAAGAUGGAGAUCGCAAAUUCAAAACAGUUAGCGGAAAGUUGCGAGAGAUCUGAUGGGAAACUGCAGAGUUGGUUGAUAAUCUGUGUGGAAUCGAUUUAAAAAGAGGAUUCCUGCAGCAUUAAAGAGAGCAUUUUCUUUAACUGAAACGCAGAACAGUUGAUUUUCCUGGAGUUUUAAUCAACUUGACAGAAAGUUCUCAAGCCCUCUGUGGGACUACAUAUCUCUUACAUCUAUAAGACCCACAGUGAGUUUCUCAGCAGUACCAAACCCACGGGAGGAACUUUAUGUUCUCAACAGCUUGUACUUUCGCCCCUAAUGGCAUGAGGCUGCAUCAGCCCCAAUCCAAACCUUAACAUAAAGCUUCCCUUCGGUCACUAUAGGUAGUAGGCAGGGUCCCUCCUAUUCCGGGCCUUCCGCUCUGACUUGCCAUAUUGCUGCAAACCAUCAGCCCAUCUGUUUGCACAAGUCAGUGGGUGGAACCAACUUCAUCACGAAGGCCCGAAUCAAAACCCUACCUUAUAAUUAUAUGGGAAGUGUGCAGUUCUGGGGAAGGAAUAGGAGCUUUACGUCAUGGUAUUACUGAUUAUAGUGGGUGUCAUGUGUGCAGUUUUCAUCAAUAGCGACCGCGUUUCACUCGUGGGCUGACUGACUAGGGGAAAAACGUUCCCAUACAUUAACUUGAGUUGAAAGGCCAGAAAACAAGUGGGUCGGAGCAACAAGGGCACAGUGUUCCCUUCCUGCACCGAGGGAACGCGCAACAUCGAGAAAAUUACAUCCUAUAAUAAAGAUAAAUCUGGUGAGUAGAUUAAAAGAUUGGCGACAUGCUCUUAAAAUGGUGUAGUGGGUGUUUGUUGUCUGGCCCCCCUUAUGUGAGAAAUUAUAUCCUCAAAAUAAAUGGCUUUUUUGGAGAUGUAUCCCUUGAUACAA